Molecule: ribosomal RNA, 492 nt
Filed under: uncultured bacterium
Lineage: Bacteria
Description: bacterial SSU rRNA
Rfam family: Bacterial small subunit ribosomal RNA
Source: RNAcentral
AUGAACGCUAGCUACAGGCUUAACACAUGCAAGUCGAGGGGCAGCAGGUAUCUAGCUUGCUAGAUAUGCUGGCGACCGGCGCACGGGUGCGUAACACGUAUCCAACCUACCCAUCUGCUCUGGGAUAGCCUUUCGAAAGAAAGAUUAAUACCGGGAUGGUUCGUUUUCCGCAUGGAUUUACGAAUAAAGAUUUAUCGGCGAUGGAUGGGGAUGCGUCCGAUUAGCUUGUUGGCGGGGUAACGGCCCACCAAGGCGACGAUCGGUAGGGGGCUCUGAGAGGAGGGUCCCCCACAUUGGAACUGAGACACGGUCCAAACUCCUACGGGAGGCAGCAGUGAGGAAUAUUGGUCAAUGGGCGAGAGCCUGAACCAGCCAAGUAGCGUGAGGGAUGACUGCCCUAUGGGUUGUAAACCUCUUUUGUUUGGGAAUAAAGUGCGGGACGCGUCCUGCAUUGCAUGUACCUUACGAAUAAGCAUCGGCUAAUUCCGUGCC